This 936-nucleotide ribosomal RNA is filed under the name uncultured archaeon. Its description in RNAcentral is "partial 16S ribosomal RNA". It matches the Rfam family "Archaeal small subunit ribosomal RNA", at positions 1 to 923 of the family's 1478-position model. The record is from RNAcentral.
UUCCGGUUGAUCCUGCCGGACCGCGAUGCUGGCGGGCUCAGCUUAAGACAUGCAAGCCGAACGCCGCGCGAUCCCGCGGCGUGGCGGACGGCUCAGUAACACGUCGCCAACCGAACCUCGGGAGGAGGAUAACCCCGGGAAACUGGGCUCAAUCCUCCAUAGGUGCGGAAUGGUGGAACCCCUCCGCACCGAAAGGGGACAAAGGGGCGCCUUUGUCCCGCCCGAGGACGGGGCGGCGGCCCAUUAGGUUGUAGGCGGGGUAACGGCCCGCCUAGCCGAUGAUGGGUACGGGCCGUGUAAGCGGGGGCCCGGAGAAGGCCACUGAGACAAGGGGCCUAGGCCUACGGGCUGCAGCAGUCGGGAGCCCUCCGCAAUGCGGGAAACCGCGACGGGGUGAGCCCGCGUGCCUCCCGAGAGGGAGGCUUUUCCCGACUGUAAACAGGUCGGGGAAUAAGGGGAGGGUAAGGCUGGUGCCAGCCGCCGCGGUAAAACCAGCUCCCCGAGUGUCGCGGUUAUUGCUGGGCCUAAAGGGUCCGUAGCCGGGUCUGCAUGACCGUGGUGAAAGCCCGGCUCUUAAGGUCGGGACGGCCACGGUUACCGCAGACCUAGGGACCGGGAGAGGCCGGAGGUACUUCCGGGCUAGGGGUGAAAUCCUAACCCCGGAAGGACCAACGGUGGCGAAAGCGUCCGGCCAGAACGGCUCCGACGGUGAGGGACGAAAGCCGGGGGAGCGAACCGGAUUAGAUACCCGGGUAGUCCCGGCUGUAAACGAUGCCCGCUAGGUGUGGCAACGCCUAAGUGGCGUUGCCGCGCCAGAAGGGAAGCCGUUAAGCGGGCCGCCGUGGGAGUACGGCCGCAAGGCUGAAACUGAAAGGUUUAGGCGGGGGUCGACCACAAUGCGUGGAGCCUGUUGCUUAAUUGGAUUCAACGCCGGGA